RNAcentral lists this ribosomal RNA (498 nucleotides) under uncultured bacterium. RNAcentral's name for it is "partial 16S ribosomal RNA". It matches the Rfam family "Bacterial small subunit ribosomal RNA", at positions 28 to 507 of the family's 1533-position model. The record is from RNAcentral.
GACGAACGCUGGCGGCAUGCCUAACACAUGCAAGUCGAACGGAGAUUAUUACGGUAAUCUUAGUGGCGAACGGGUGAGUAACGCGUGGGCAACCUGCCCUCUAGAUGGGGACAACAUCCCGAAAGGGGUGCUAAUACCGAAUGUGACAGCAAUCUCGCAUGAGGAUGCUGUGAAAGAUGGCCUCUAUUUAUAAGCUAUCGCUAGAGGAUGGGCCUGCGUCUGAUUAGCUAGUUGGUGGGGUAACGGCCUACCAAGGCGAUGAUCAGUAGCCGGUCUGAGAGGAUGAACGGCCACAUUGGGACUGAGACACGGCCCAGACUCCUACGGGAGGCAGCAGUGGGGAAUCUUCCGCAAUGGGCGAAAGCCUGACGGAGCAAUGCCGCGUGAGUGAUGAAGGAAUUCGUUCCGUAAAGCUCUUUUGCUUAUGACGAAUGUGCAGAUUGUGAACAAUGAUCUGUAAUGACGGUAGUAAACGAAUAAGCCACGGCUAACUACGUG